CAUUACGACGAAGGUCCAUUUUUCACCACGGACCGCAGAGGGUGGAAGCCCAUUGCUGUUCACACUGCAUCCUGUUCUCGUCUCGAGACUCAUGACUUCCAGCAUAGAGUCCCAAGGCAAGGUGAAUGUGCGGGUAAAGUGUCAAGCGAGACGACUAUCCCCAUGCGACUCAAACGAUCGGGUCGGCAUUGUCUGCUUCCACGAGCUUCCGGCUCCUUAGAUGGUCUCGCCCGAAGCCCUUGGACAGCCUUUGACUAUAUAGAGAGGCUCUGCUUCGUUUCAAAGCUGCAUGGUCCCUCUUUCACGUGAUAAACAGCAGCCGGGUACCAUCCACUGCAUCCAUGACAAACCACCGUCCCGCUCCACGCCAUUGAUGUUACGUUCUGAAACAGUUCGGUUGUCGAUGGUCAGUGAUCAUGACACAAAGGGUUGGCAUUCUCGUAACAGCGACGAUUUGCGGGACAGUUGUUAAGGACCGCCCUUAGAAAAAUGCUCCUCGUUCCUUCAUCCUUGUCUACACCCACCGUUACACAAGUAUCGGAUUCUGCAGCUGGGUGAGUUCUGAAAAUUGAUAAGAGAUGAUAAAGGAAGUUCGGUAAAUCCAACGCAAGUUCUGA
Neodiprion virginianus is the source of this 617-nucleotide long non-coding RNA. RefSeq lists it as uncharacterized. The transcript is spliced from 3 exons. Lineage: Eukaryota; Metazoa; Arthropoda; Insecta; Hymenoptera; Diprionidae. The record is from RefSeq and is a predicted model, not a curated record.